CGCGUAGGCGGCUUAGCAAGUCAGAUGUGAAAGCCCCGGGCUUAACUCGGGAAUUGCAUCUGAAACUGCUUUGCUUGAGUCCUGGAGGGGAUAGUGGAAUUCCCAGUGUAGCGGUGAAAUGCGUAGAUAUUGGGAGGAACACCUGCGGCGAAGGCGGCUAUCUGGACAGUGACUGACGCUGAGGCGCGAAAGCUAGGGGGAGCGAACGG
This 209-nucleotide ribosomal RNA is filed under the name uncultured Acidobacteriota bacterium. RNAcentral describes it as "uncultured Acidobacteria bacterium partial 16S ribosomal RNA". It matches the Rfam family "Bacterial small subunit ribosomal RNA", at positions 568 to 775 of the family's 1533-position model. The record is from RNAcentral. Lineage: Bacteria; Pseudomonadati; Acidobacteriota.